Molecule: ribosomal RNA, 465 nt
Filed under: Vreelandella stevensii
Lineage: Bacteria; Pseudomonadati; Pseudomonadota; Gammaproteobacteria; Oceanospirillales; Halomonadaceae
Description: partial 16S ribosomal RNA
Rfam family: Bacterial small subunit ribosomal RNA
Source: RNAcentral
CCUACGGGUGGCUGCAGUGGGGAAUAUUGGACAAUGGGGGGAACCCUGAUCCAGCCAUGCCGCGUGUGUGAAGAAGGCCCUCGGGUUGUAAAGCACUUUCAGUGAGGAAGAACGCCUGGUGGUUAAUACCCAUCAGGAAAGACAUCACUCACAGAAGAAGCACCGGCUAACUCCGUGCCAGCAGCCGCGGUAAUACGGAUGGUGCGAGCGUUAAUCGGAAUUACUGGGCGUAAAGCGCGCGUAGGUGGCUUGAUAAGCCGGUUGUGAAAGCCCCGGGCUCAACCUGGGAACGGCAUCCGGAACUGUCAAGCUAGAGUGUAGGAGAGGAAGGUAGAAUUCCCGGUGUAGCGGUGAAAUGCGUAGAGAUCGGGAGGAAUACCAGUGGCGAAGGCGGCCUUCUGGACUGACACUGACACUGAGGUGCGAAAGCGUGGGUAGCAAACAGGAUUAGAUACCCUGGUAGUC